This 1276-nucleotide long non-coding RNA is filed under the name Neodiprion lecontei (redheaded pine sawfly). RNAcentral describes it as "uncharacterized LOC124294552, transcript variant X1". Lineage: Eukaryota; Metazoa; Arthropoda; Insecta; Hymenoptera; Diprionidae. The record is from RNAcentral.
AGAUUCUAGAUUUGUGUUUACUUUUUUGAUCGUAUUUCAUUCAUAACUCUCUUUGCGGAUUUGUUAUUACAUCUGAGCAAAAUCACCAGUGGAACAUUCCAUGAAACGUACUGAAAACAAGAUUCUUGGAAGGUUCUUAUCCAUCCAUCGGAACGUAGGAUAAACUCCCGACUGAAUGUUGAAUAAUACUCGUCAAAUACACGGAACGGAGUUUAAACCCAAGUGCCGAUUUUCCGGAAGGAACGUUGGAUUAUCGCCGCUGAUCGAGAGAGAAGGAGUUCGGAGAGGGCUAAGAGGAACGCGGUGGAUUUUGGGAGAGCCGACAGCCCGACGCCACGUUUCCCCUCCGCCAGCCCUUGACGAUCAAGUCGAAAGACGUACAGCACCGAAAACGUCAUGAACGAAGCGUGCGAAUACGUACACUUGACGGUUUCGAUGCUGACAGUAAUUAAAGUGUAGUAAAGAAUCCAUCAUUUUGGUCGUAUUGGGAUUUGGAGGAUUGCGAUAGCUUGGAGAAACGGGGAUCUGGAUGAUUCUUUCAGUAAUCAAAAAUCCAUCAUUUUGGAAAAACUGGGAUCUAGCUAUUCUCGGGCCAGCAAUUCGCCCAAACCACCGGGAAAGCAGCCAUAGGACCGAUCAACUGACUGCGUCCAGGAAGUUUCCGGUAUUCUGGUAUCUGCCUGGCCUGCAACUUGUUACCCCCAAAAAUAAAACGUGUAGCUGUAUCUGAAUACACAUGCAUACGUAUAUAUUACAUAGAAUUGAUGCCCGUCCAUCUAGGUUUCGUGGAAAGAACGCUAACGGUAGCAUCGAGGGUUUCUCCUAAUUGUACCUGGAAACGCUCGAACCGCGGGGAUCCAAAUCACAUGGCGCUUUAUUGUAUUUUUUGCUGUAUAAAUAAUCUUUUACAGAUGGAGGUAUAAUGCAUAUCUGUACAUGUCUAUCUCUACGUACGACAUUCUGGUUGAUCCUGUCGCAGCUUCGCCGAUUUAACCGGAGAUCAGUAGUAGAAUUCUUAUUACAUAAAGUACUUUGCACCAUAAGAUAAGAAAAACGAUACUAUAAUAACAAUAAUAAUGUUAACGAAAUUAGUAAGAACUGUAAUACAAAUCCUUUUACUGGAAUCGAUCAAACGUUAUAGUGCCAUAAUUGUAACGCGAGGAUUCAGUAAUUUUUAAAUUGCUAUUAUACACAUACAGAUAAAGAGAAACGGUUACACGGGCAUGUGAUACGUCCGUAUAUUAAAAUAUACCAUGAAAAAAUUUUGAUACCAAUA